GGGUGUGUAGCUCAGUUGGUAGAGCAGCUGACUCUUAAUCAGCGGGUCCAAGGUUCGAAUCCUUGCACACCCA
This is a non-coding RNA of Microvirga lotononidis, 73 nucleotides long. The record is from Rfam. NCBI's taxonomy places the organism in Bacteria, Pseudomonadati, Pseudomonadota, Alphaproteobacteria, Hyphomicrobiales, Methylobacteriaceae.